Molecule: long non-coding RNA, 5577 nt
Filed under: Homo sapiens (human)
Lineage: Eukaryota; Metazoa; Chordata; Mammalia; Primates; Hominidae
Description: HSALNT0033110
Source: RNAcentral
UGGUGAGACAGCACCAUUCCUUCCAGGAGCUGAAAGAAGGCCCCUGAGGUUGAAAUGAGGUGGAGGGGAAUGAGAGGGCGGUAAAGGGUGCAGAAACAGGCAGGAGCCUGAAGGACUGGCCUGGACUGUUCUGUGUGCCCAACAGCAACUGGCGGGCCUGGCCUCUGGAUGGAAAGAAGACCUACCAGAAGGGCAGGAGACACCAAAAAGACUGAGGUGAACUUCAGCUUGCCCAGUUUUCAGGUCUGCAAUUCCAGGUGCAUGUGGUGGGUCUGCCACUUCCAUAGAUAUUGGAAGGUACUCAAUAUUGUAUGAACAUUCUCUGGUGGUUCGUGAAAUCAUGGUGACUUGGGUCUGGGCCCAAUCUCAAUUCAUUUGCAAGGAGUCAAUCUGAAGACCUGUGACCACAAUGAGGAAUUUCAAAGGGGAUCUUCAGUACUGCCUGGAUAUUUUAAAUGGACAACCAGAUAGCACAGGAAGCAGCCCAGCUCCAGAUUCUAGGCUCGCAGAUGGUGAUGCUGGAAAGGGGAAAAGAAACGUUGGUUGAAUCUGCAGAGAAGGGACCCACAGAUAUGGAGCACCCACUGUUUACCAGACACUGAGCUAGGUAUUUGGGAUGCCACAGAAGAGUAUCAAGAAUCACCCCUGCCCUCAAGCAGCUUUUAACCAUUGAGCAGACACCAGGGAAGGGCCAGAGGAGCAGCGUGGGUGGAAAAGGAUAUUGUGAGACUUUGACAGAAGUAGGAGUAGGAGGGAUAUGGGAGGAAUCGGACUUGUUUGGCCUUUUAGGGUUUUCGGCAUAAAUCUUUGGAAUUACUGCAUCAAUAGUUUAUGUGUACUUACUUAAGGUAAGACUCUAUUCUGCUUUUUUUCCCCUAGACUUUUUGGAAAGCAUGUUCAGAAAGCCUCUUAUCUUCCCUAGCACAAAGAUUGUUUUAACUCUAGCUUAAAUAACAAUAGUAAAAGUGAUCAGGGUAGCUAUCAUUUGUUGAAAACUUACUGUGUGCCAGACCCACUGAUAAGAACUGUGAGUUAACAGAUGAUUCAUUCAUGGCCCAAAGGAGCCCUGUCUUUCCUGAGUUUUCAAGUUCUAUACAGAAAGGUCUCCUGUUUAGCCUUGCUAAACUUCGCACUGAGGAGGGGGCCUACCUCGGGAGUCCCAAAUGAGUGUUACAAAGCACAAUUCAUAAACAUGUCCGACAACUUCCUGAGGAAAGAGCUUUCCAGAACCCACACACCAAAUCAAAUAGUUAAGAAGAAAAUGAGAAAAAGGUUUUAAUUUAAAUCAAUUAUACUUUUAAAUUAUUUUCUUCACACAAUUUAUUAGAAGAAGAAGAAAACCCCCUAAAGUUCUGAAGAAAUAUUAACAUAACAUGCCUGUAACUCAUGCUGUGUUUAAUGAGAGGUGCUGUUUUUCCUGCCAUGGGGCCAUAGCCCAAUGAGUGAUGGCUCUGAAAAGGGUCACAUACAUAUUCAUCAAAUUCGACAUGCACAUGUAAACUGGUUUUAAUAGGCCAUGACAGCAGAAGUUGUGUCGGGCAAAUAGCUGCAUAUGUGCUCCUUUCCUCCACUGGCACAUUUAGCCAUUAACACUCUGGUAUCCAUGGAUGAAAUAUUAGCUUGUUAACUUCAGGCCAUCAGUUGUUGUUGAUUCUCAGUAGCAACUGAGGGAAGAGAUCCCCUCUGCUACUUUAUUAGGGGAGAAGCUUGAACUUCAAGAUGCUCAUUUCACUUUCAUGGUGUCAUUAAUACUAUUUUGUUCCCUGAACUUGGAGUCCAGAAGAUGCAUGAAAAUUGUUCUGACAAAAAUUGAUAUUAUACCCAGUUCAAACCUACAGAUGGCAUGGGACAAAAACUGAUAUAUCCAGUUCAAACCCACAGAUGGCAUAGGUUUUAAAACUUUUUCUUAAUACAUUUCAAUGCAAGAUCCAUUUUCUUCAACUGUCAACCAUUUUGAAGGUCAUCAAAGCAUGCAUGGUUGUUGGUUAAGUGGACAUUAGCAGCAAUUAUGCAUCCUUCUAAGACUCUCUCCUUCGUUUUUUGAUGAAUAGAUUGUCAAGUUCAGAAGUGAACUAAAUUAUCACAGUGCAACCGAAGCUACACUCGAUUCAUUUUAAAAAAAGGACCCUCAAGUAAUAAAGUGAGAUGUCUAUGUUUUCUAGAAGCUACCAUACAAGAACAAGACCCAAAGCCCAUUAUUUCAAGACACUCAGGCCCUGAGUUAACAUUGAUAGAUUAUCUUUUUGCAACCAUCUGGAGGCCCCUGGCUACCUCAACCAUCAACUGUUGGAUACCUAUAUUUAGUUAAACAGAAGAAUCUUUCAUGGACCAUUUACAUUUAGCCUGUUCUGUCAGUCAAGUUUCUUCCUAGAUUGAGUUGGUGUUUUGUUCUACUUUCUGUUAAACAAACAGCUGUACAUUUGAAUCACCAAGGUACUGGGUCUAACCAAAGUGACCUUUACAUAACAUGUUGAGGAAGAGUUUCAUAGCUUGGAAACAAAUCUGUCAUUCAUAGUCAAUCACAUUUUAUUACUGAUCUCUUGUUCCUCAUCCCCAUCCUUUCCUGCUUCUUCUCCAAAUCAGCGAUGAAUCCUUGCCAAAAAAAAAAAAAAAAUUCUGCCCUUUAUUCACCAAUAAGUGUUCCAGAUCGUCACAUGCUUAAAAUAGGAUCAACUUUAGUUGCCAAGAUAGUAAACAACACAAUAAAAUAAUUUAUCCACUAAUAAAAUUAUACUAUAUGGUGAGAAAAUAUAUUAAAAAAGUAAUUAGUUGAAUAAAUUAACUGGAUAUUUGUCUCUUUGUCAUGAAUAUAUUUUCCUUGGCAGAAGGAAGUAUAUGUAGGACCCCUGUUUUUUUUUUAGCUUCCUCAUAUUUAGUUGUGAAUGAAGAAUACACUGGAUCCAACCCUAUGGGUAUUAUACAGGGAACAAUUUUCUAAAAGAAACCUACAAACACUCCAAUAUCAGAUACUGUACUGUUCAAGUUAGAGGUAUCAGAUCUAUUCUGGCUUUUUCAAUGGAAUAUAUUUGUCUUCAUUCUCAGACUUGGUGUCUUGGGACAAGAUAAUUUAAGGAAGACUGCGAUUAACAUAGGCCAGCUCUCCCUUGUAAUAUAUGAGUGGGCUCAAUACAAUGUAUUCUAAUGCUGCAUUACAAUACAGUGAUUUUUAUGCCCCACCUUCCAUACAUUUAAGAGUUGUGAGUGACUUUACAUGUUUUGAGCUACUCUCAAUUGAGAAGAUUAUCACCAUGUCAAUAAGUGACAUAAUGUGUGUUCAGUAUUUUCCCAGUUCUGGCUUAGGCUCAUUAGACCACCACUGCCAAAGAACACAGGGCACAAUUUGCUUGAUUUCUGCUUUUUUAGAAAAAAAGGCCCUCCAUUUCUAACUGUUCUAAUUACAUUUCAGUGCAAUUAGGAAACUCAUCCCUAGAAAGCAAAGUUGCUUUCUGUGACUGGUGAGCAGAGGCAGAAAAUGAAAGGCCGGCUCUUCCUUGGCACUGCUGCCCAUCACUAAGAGGCGGGAAUGACUGGUGAACUUGGCUGAUUCAGGAAAAUGCCAUCUGCAUCUUCUCCUAGGAAGCAGAUGGUCUUCACAGUGACCUGUAUAGUAAGGAAGGUUAAGGCAGCCACAAAGAACCAACCUGGGCUUGCUUCAGAUGGAACUAGAAACAGAGAUGGGACAGCCAGAAUUAGAAUGCACGUCACUGGGCAGAAACAUGGACAACCCACUAAAACAUGACCUUCAUGGGCGUGGAACACUCAGAUGGCUUACAGGCUGCAAAUUAGGAACAAGAUGGGCCUAAGUAAAAAUGAUGGGAACUGUCUUCUCACAAUAACCCACAGACAUUUAAAGAGGUGAGAGAUAUGGAUUUCCAGAAAACCACACAUAUUUGGGGGAAAAUAGGGGUCAUUCUCCAGAGGCUUUGAUCCAUUAGUUGGCAUUUCACAAAAGGCGGCCAGACCGUGUUGAUUCGACAACAGAGGUGUAAGCUGGGACAAAUUAAUUUACACUGCUUCAUGUGGGAAAGGCAACAAGGCCUGAUAUGUCCAUUACUAGUCUUAAGAAAAAGUAUUUGUGCAAUGUUAACACAGUUUAUACAGUUUAUGAAAUCAACAAAUGAUUUGAUCUUUUGCAAGCACCAACACCCCUUGAAUAAGCUUUUCUGAAUUGCCCUGGUCAAUCCUUGUGACUUGUGUUUUAAGUACUCUUUUUAAGUUCAGAACAGUGUAAAAUUUAAAAUCCAAGCCGUAUUUUUCUUUCCUUUAUAAGAAUUUAAGCAUUGGGCUGAUUUUAGGCCUGAAGCUUUCAUUGAUGCUAGAGUCAAUCAUGAAUGACUAACCUAGACCUUCUAGGAGGAUUGCUAAUUGGUUGCGACUCAUUACCUGGAGCUAUAAGAAUGGCUAAAAAGAAGUAGCCCCAUCUGAGGAGAGCCUUCUAUGGUCACUUCAGCCUGGAAUUCAUUCCCUUUCUCUCAACACUUAACAGCGUUUUGAUUAUUUAUUGGUAAAUAAUCUGCUAAACUCUGGAAUCUCUGAGGUAGCCCAUGGAACAUACUGGACACAGAGAAUCUGGAUUUCCCAAGGCAUCAGUGUGCUUUGGGGCCAUACCUAGAAGCUACGCACCUCAAAUUCUGUGGUUUAUAAAGUUCAAUAAAUUGUCUCUACCUAUCUGAGAUAGAGGAAUGGACUAAAUGUGAGGUAGACUUCCAAGGGACAGGACCAUAUAAGUAGCAGAUUUAUUUUAUUCAGAAAGGGCAGCCCCUCAUAUAUAUUAGAAAAAUUAAAUCACUCAUUUCUCAUAUUCCAAAUACUACCACAAAUGAAAGCUGGCCUGGGACUCUCCCUGCCCCAGUCUUCACUGAGACCCUAAGGUGAUAGAUAUGAUGCACAAAGGGGUGGUAGAUGGACCCCCCCUCUCCUGUGCUUAUAAAGACUGAUAAAAAGAAUGAUCUCAGAAACUGUUUCCGAACUCUUUGACCACUCAACCAGAUGCAGCAGAUAAAAGAGAUUACAGAGGAAAGAGGAUUUUUUUCAAGAAGAGUGGGGAGGAUUUUUUUUUUGAGAGAGUUUCCAGUGUUGUCAUUUCAUCUUCCCUUCCUGUGGGUGAGUGGAAGGGGGUGUUCAUACUCACAUAAACCAAGUGAGCAGAGUUUCAGGAAACUACUUAACACGAGCUGGGUCCCUGACUAAUGCCUGACUCUUGGGAUGGUGAAUUUGGGUCUGCCUGCAGCCUCAGGCGUCCGAGGGCCCUUUGUGAUCGCAGGAAUGCCAGCACCUCUCAUGUGAUCUGGAGAAGGCUGGCUGGCUGCCUGCAUUGGUGGUGGAAGGUAGUGGCGGAGAGACUGGCCUGCACUUUCUGAGUUGGCAAGACAAGAGAUGCAAGCGUGUCUCCCAUGAAUCACGUGAGGGAGGUGUGGAAGAGAAGACCAGUGUGGCAUUGCAUUGGGUUCUGUCCAAUAUGAUCUCCUGGAGCAAUGACACACUCAGCACCCACAAGGUACAGGUGUCCCCCAAGGGGCCAAUAAAGUCCUUUGGGAAGCAGACUAGGUAUUAAAAGUAGAAGUGCUACUUUAAGAA